This 460-nucleotide ribosomal RNA is filed under the name uncultured bacterium. RNAcentral's name for it is "partial 16S ribosomal RNA". It matches the Rfam family "Bacterial small subunit ribosomal RNA", at positions 338 to 795 of the family's 1533-position model. The record is from RNAcentral.
CCUACGGGAGGCUGCAGUGAGGAAUAUUGGUCAAUGGACGAGAGCCUGAACCAGCCAAGCCGCGUGAAGGAUGACUGCCCCAUGGGUUGUAAACUUCUUUUAUAUGGGAAUAAAAUGUUCCACGUGUGGGAUUUUGUAUGUACCCUAUGAAUAAGGAUCGGCUAACUCCGUGCCAGCAGCCGCGGUAAUACGGAGGAUCCGAGCGUUAUCCGGAUUUAUUGGGUUUAAAGGGAGCGUAGGUGGAUGGUUAAGUCAGUUGUGAAAGUUUGCGGCUCAACCGUAAGAGUGCAGUUGAAACUGGCAGUCUAGAGAACAGUAGAAGUGGGCGGAAUGCGUGGUGUAGCGGUGAAAUGCUUAGAUAUCGCGAAGAACUCCGAUUGCGAAGGCAGCGCACUGGACUGCAACUGACACUGAGGCUCGAAAGUGUGGGUAUCAAACAGGAUUAGAUACCCGUGUAGUC